CACCCAGACUCCUACGGGAGGCAGCAGUGGGGGAUAUUGCACAAUGGGGGAAACCCUGAUGCAGCGACGCCGCGUGUGGGAAGACGGUCUUCUGGAUUGUAAACCACUGUCCCCAGGGACGAAAAUGACGGUACCUGGGGAGGAAGCUCCGGCUAACUACGUGCCAGCAGCCGCGGUAAUACGUAGGGAGCAAGCGUUGUCCGGAAUUACUGGGUGUAAAGGGAGCGUAGACGGCAGCGCAAGUCUGAAGUGAAAUCCCAUGGCUUAACCAUGGAACUGCUUUGGAAACUGUGCAGCUGGAGUGCAGGAGAGGUAAGCGGAAUUCCUAGUGUAGCGGUGAAAUGCGUAGAUAUUAGGAGGAACACCAGUGGCGAAGGCGGCUUACUGGACUGUAACUGACGUUGAGGCUCGAAAGCGUGGGGAGCAAACAGGAUUAGAUACCCGUGUAU
Molecule: ribosomal RNA, 449 nt
Filed under: uncultured bacterium
Lineage: Bacteria
Description: bacterial SSU rRNA
Rfam family: Bacterial small subunit ribosomal RNA
Source: RNAcentral